This 506-nucleotide long non-coding RNA is filed under the name Panax ginseng (ginseng). Its description in RNAcentral is "long non-coding RNA (PGIN_LNC006740)". Lineage: Eukaryota; Viridiplantae; Streptophyta; Magnoliopsida; Apiales; Araliaceae. The record is from RNAcentral.
UCAUGGCCAUCAUCAUACCUUGUCCUUCCCGUGCUUCCUUCAAUGUUUUGAGCAUCUCCAGUUGCACAACAUUCAUUUGUUCUCCACUUGCAUCCUCGUCUUGCCUUUCUGCGUUGGUUUGUUGUUGAUUGGCCAUGUAUAGUGAUGUUGAACUCCCUUCCGAAGCGUCUUUAAUAAGUGGUUGGUCAAAAUCCAGAUUUGCGCCUUGGAAUGCUUGAGUUACUUGCCUUGGAACUGGAUCCGGUGAGGUAAUGCUAUUUGUUGGUGAAGUGGCUCUUCCUGUAGUUCUCCCACUUCGAGUUGUGGGCAUACCCUUCACGAAUUCGACACCUCCCCAGCAGAGUCGCCAAAAGAAUGUGGGCAAGGAAAUCGUACCUUGCUAGGGUUAGGGUUUCGUGUUGGCUGAGGAGGAGAGAAAUCCACGAAAAGUACGGAAUUGAUUGAUUGAUUGAAGAAGGGAGAAUGACAGGUGGGCGAUUACUCCAACGACACGUGACAGAACUCCU